GGAAGCGUGGCAGAGCGGUUGAAUGCAACGGUCUUGAAAACCGUCGAAGGGGAAACUCUUCCGUGAGUUCGAAUCUCACCGCUUCCGCCA
Molecule: transfer RNA, 90 nt
Filed under: Ectopseudomonas mendocina
Lineage: Bacteria; Pseudomonadati; Pseudomonadota; Gammaproteobacteria; Pseudomonadales; Pseudomonadaceae
Also listed under: 50 other names
Description: tRNA-Ser
Rfam family: tRNA
About the family: Transfer RNA (tRNA) molecules are approximately 80 nucleotides in length. Their secondary structure includes four short double-helical elements and three loops (D, anti-codon, and T loops).
Source: RNAcentral